GGUGAGUAAUGUCUGGGAAACUGCCUGAUGGAGGGGGAUAACUACUGGAAACGGUAGCUAAUACCGCAUAACGUCGCAAGACCAAAGAGAGGGACCUUCGGGCCUCUUGCCAUCAGAUGUGCCCAGAUGGGAUUAGCUUGUUGGUGGGGUAACGGCUCACCAAGGCGACGAUCCCUAGCUGGUCUGAGAGGAUGACCAGCCACACUGGAACUGAGACACGGUCCAG
RNAcentral lists this ribosomal RNA (226 nucleotides) under uncultured Enterobacterales bacterium. RNAcentral describes it as "partial 16S ribosomal RNA". It matches the Rfam family "Bacterial small subunit ribosomal RNA", at positions 105 to 334 of the family's 1533-position model. The record is from RNAcentral. Lineage: Bacteria; Pseudomonadati; Pseudomonadota; Gammaproteobacteria; Enterobacterales.